CUGCUGGCGGAAUGCUCGAGCUGCUCGCGCGGCGAGAGAGCGGGCCGCCGCGUGCCGGCCGGGGGACGGACCGGGAACGGCCCCCUCGGGGGCCUUCCCCGGGCGUCGAACAACCGACUCAGAACUGAAUCCAAGCUAGCAACCGGCGCCUCUGCUCGCCGCCCGCCCCCGACCCACGUUAGGGCGUUCGCGCCCCAAGGGCCCGUGCCAUUGGCUCAGCCCGCUCCGGCCGACGCGCCGCGGCGGGCCGCCUCGAAGCUCCCUUCCCAACGGGCGGCGUUGCUGAAUCCUUUGCAGAACGACUUAAAACGCGACGGGGUCCAUUGUAAGUGGCAGAGUGGCCUUGCUGCCACGAUCCACUGA
Molecule: unclassified non-coding RNA, 363 nt
Filed under: Zea mays
Lineage: Eukaryota; Viridiplantae; Streptophyta; Magnoliopsida; Poales; Poaceae
Description: misc RNA Zm00001eb440570
Source: RNAcentral